AGAGUUUGAUCAUGGCUCAGAUUGAACGCUGGCGGCAUGCUUUACACAUGCAAGUCGAACGGCAGCGGGGGUGCUUGCACCUGCCGGCGAGUGGCGAACGGGUGAGUAAUGCAUCGGAACGUGUCCUUAAGUGGGGAAUAACGCAUCGAAAGAUGUGCUAAUACCGCGUAGUCUCUGAGGAGUAAAGCAGGGGAUCGAAAGACCUUGCGCUUAAGGAGCGGCCGAUGUCUGAUUAGCUAGUUGGUGGGGUAAAGGCCUACCAAGGCAACGAUCAGUAGUUGGUCUGAGAGGACGACCAACCACACUGAGACUGAGACACGGCCCAGACUCCUACGGGAGGCAGCAGUGGGGAAUUUUGGACAAUGGGCGCAAGCCUGAUCCAGCCAUGCCGCGUGAGUGAAGAAGGCCUUCGGGUUGUAAAGCUCUUUCAGUUGGGAAGAAACGAUUGCAACUAAUAAUUGUAAUUAAUGACGGUACCGACAGAAGAAGCACCGGCUAACUACGUGCCAGCAGCCGCGGUAAUACGUAGGGUGCGAGCGUUAAUCGGAAUUACUGGGCGUAAAGGGUGCGCAGGCGGUUUUGUAAGUCAGAUGUGAAAUCCCCGGGCUUAACCUGGGAAU
RNAcentral lists this ribosomal RNA (620 nucleotides) under uncultured bacterium. Its description in RNAcentral is "bacterial SSU rRNA". It matches the Rfam family "Bacterial small subunit ribosomal RNA", at positions 8 to 621 of the family's 1533-position model. The record is from RNAcentral.